This 30-nucleotide non-coding RNA is filed under the name Mus musculus (house mouse). Lineage: Eukaryota; Metazoa; Chordata; Mammalia; Rodentia; Muridae. The record is from RNAcentral.
UGGUAGACUAACAUUUGAAGCCUGAUGACU